CUCAGCUGACCGCAGCUGUGUUCUCUUUGAUUUAUGAGUGCCACAACACAGUUUGGGGUGCAAUCGCAAUAGAACCAGCGGAGCCCGUCUCUCGUGAAAUUGGCGCGGGCGAUGCAAGGGGUUUACUUUAAGGACUCGGUGGCACCCGAGUC
RNAcentral lists this small RNA (152 nucleotides) under Collinsella tanakaei YIT 12063. Its description in RNAcentral is "Collinsella-1 RNA". The stretch from base 57 to 152 matches the Rfam family "Collinsella-1 RNA", at positions 94 to 196 of the family's 196-position model. The record is from Rfam by way of RNAcentral. Lineage: Bacteria; Bacillati; Actinomycetota; Coriobacteriia; Coriobacteriales; Coriobacteriaceae.